UACAGAGACUGCAAGCGUUAUUCGGAUUCACUGGGCGUAAAGGGUGCGCAGGCGGUUGGGUGUGUCAGAUGUGAAAUCCCGAGGCUUAACCUCGGAACUGCGUCUGAAACUACUCGACUAGAGUACUGGAGAGGGAAACGGAAUUCACGGUGUAGCAGUGAAAUGCGUAGAUAUCGUGAGGAACACCAGAGGCGAAGGCGGUUUCCUGGACAGUUACUGACGCUCAGGCACAAAAGCAUGGGGAGCAAAAGGG
This 253-nucleotide ribosomal RNA is filed under the name uncultured bacterium. RNAcentral's name for it is "partial 16S ribosomal RNA". It matches the Rfam family "Bacterial small subunit ribosomal RNA", at positions 524 to 776 of the family's 1533-position model. The record is from RNAcentral.